AGUGAACGCUGGCGGCGUGCUUAACACAUGCAAGUCGAACGAGAACGGAUUAUAGCUUGCUAUAAUUGUCAGCUAAGUGGCGCACGGGUGAGUAAUGUAUAGGUAAUAUGCCUCUUACUAAGGGAUAACAAAUGGAAACGUUUGCUAAUACCUUAUACUCCUUAUUAACAGAAGUUAAUAAGGGAAAGAUUUAUUGGUAAGAGAUUAGCCUGUAUUGUAUCAGUUAGUUGGUGGGGUAAUGGCUUACCAAGACUAUGACACAUAACUGGUUUGAGAGGAUGAUCAGUCACACUGGAACUGAGACACGGUCCAGACUCCUACGGGAGGCAGCAGUGGGGAAUAUUGCACAAUGGACGAAAGUCUGAUGCAGCAACGCCGCGUGGAGGAUGACACAUUUCGGUGCGUAAACUCCUUUUANAUUGAGAAGAUAAAUGACGGUAUUAUAUGAAUAAGCACCGGCUAACUCGUGCCAGCAGCCGACGG
RNAcentral lists this ribosomal RNA (483 nucleotides) under uncultured bacterium. Its description in RNAcentral is "bacterial SSU rRNA". It matches the Rfam family "Bacterial small subunit ribosomal RNA", at positions 29 to 520 of the family's 1533-position model. The record is from RNAcentral.